Long non-coding RNA from Peromyscus eremicus (cactus mouse), 780 nucleotides. RefSeq lists it as uncharacterized. Lineage: Eukaryota; Metazoa; Chordata; Mammalia; Rodentia; Cricetidae. The record is from RefSeq and is a predicted model, not a curated record. The transcript is spliced from 4 exons.
GGGGAGGUGGCUGUCCUGUGACAAAGGAGUCUGACUUCCAGUGGGGGUAAACAGAAGUAGCAAACACCUUUUAAGAUGCAAAAUUUUAUGAUUAAACAAAUACCCCUGGUGAUGAGGGAUCAAGGUCCCCCACGGAACACAAGUAGAACAUGCCAUGGUGAAGGCUUGAACUUCAAUCAACCCAGUGGGGCUGAUUCAACCAGCAUGACGUAAGACCUCCAAGGGUCUGGAGUCUUGGGUCCUCACCUAUAGACUGGUGACAUUUUGGAGAGUGGCUUUUAACACUUCUGGACCUCAGUUUUUUUCAUCUAUAACAUGGGGUCAACACUAAAUGUCAGAAGACUCCACAGAAGAAAUUCCAGCUGAAAGCGGAACACUGGUGUAGCUACUUAAUAUCUUGAACAUCUUUUGGUGACUUAAGGGUCAGAACACAGAUCAAGAGUUACAGUCCUGUUUACUGGACAGUGACAGAGAGCAUCGAGGUGGUCAGCAUCUGGACAAACCAUUUGGGUGUCGCCAGCUGUUUUUAAAUCUGUCUCAAACUCUCCCUGAGUUUAAAGGACAACAAGAUCAGCUUCUCCCUCUUCCUCCGUAUGUGGCAUGCUUGCUCUGGAGAGCGGGCACACGGACUCUUAUUGGCAACUACAGACAAAACAGAACAAGCCUCCUGAAAGCCAGAAAGUUUUCCUUACUUGCUUGGCAUCACAACUUGACUUGAACCAGCAUGAGACCAUUUGUUUACUGCCUUUAGAGUAAAUGUUUACACAUUUCACUGCAAAA